This 3699-nucleotide long non-coding RNA is filed under the name Sus scrofa (pig). Its description in RNAcentral is "lncRNA (ENSSSCG00000056973.1)". The record is from RNAcentral. Lineage: Eukaryota; Metazoa; Chordata; Mammalia; Artiodactyla; Suidae.
GGAUAGGAACAGAGAGUUGAGUACUGAUGGAAUCCAAAUGCUGCAAAAUUGUUAGGUUCUAAAUACUGAGAAGUGGCAGAGAUUAAGUGAAGAUAUAUUGGGAGGAUUUGCUGACAUAAAGUGGUCUUGACUUGAUUGCUUUGGAAGACAUGACCUAGAACAAAUGUGUAGCAGAGUGGGGAGGAACUGGGAUUUAUAGCUGCAAAUUAGUAAGAGGGUUGGCAGUGUCCAGCCCUGUGUUCAAUAUAAGCCUUUUAUCAGCAGGCAGAAGAACCCACAGGAUAGGUCUUACUCUACUUCAAAGUUGAAGGAGGAAACAAAUUAGAGCCAAGAUUUAUUAAGCAACCUUGGACUUCUUUGCAACCCCAAAAGAUCUCUCUGAUUUGCUCUGCAGCUACCUUGGCCAUUCACUAAAAACAAGUUUGAGUGAUGGAGCUCAGGGUCAAGAUGCAGGGAAGAAUUUGGCAGAUGGGAAGAGUUUUCCAUCUCUAGUAGUUCAGGCUAAGCUCAUUCUUAAAUCUUUGAAUAAAAUUCCCCACAACUCUAGCUCUAGCCCAGUUUUGGAUUGAAGGCUGAAUGCCCUGAUUUAUUUUUAUUACAUGGGAGCAUAUUCUAAUGAAAUUCCCUAUAAACAACAGGCUACUUGCCCUUAGCAUUUAGCAGAUACCAACCAGAAUUGAAACAAAUCCAGUAACUUCUUGCACCAGGUGUAGAAAAAAAUAUACAUUUUAGUUAUUAUUAUUUGAGAGAUGAAAAGUGCUAAGUGAUAGGCAUCAGAGAAGCUACAGGGACAUGAAUAUUGUGGAGGAAACAAGAAAGGGUUUAGGAAGCAUUUCAAUGACCUUUGAAUUAGGAGGCAUCUCAUGUUCUUAAAGAGAUACAAAUGAAGAUUGAAUUCUUUGCUAAUGCUUUGGCUUGGGCCAAAUGUAGGACACAUAACUUUGGAGUUUAUAUCUAGGUUACAGAAGAAUUACUGAGUCCCAUCUACUUUGGGCGAGCACUGGGUUAGGUAGAUACUUCACAUGUGUUCCUCCAUUUCCUUUUCAGAACAGCUCUAUGAAGCAGAGAGAAAUAACUUCCUCUAGUAAGUGGCAUAAUUAAAAUUUGAAACUAGGCUGGUUUGACUCUAUAGCAUGUGUAAUUUUUACUACACCAGGAAAUCAUGAAUCAUUCUCUGCCGAUGUAUGUUUUUUAUUACAUCUAAUUAGGAGCAGACUUUCAGAAGCAGCUGACAGUGGUUAUUAGUUAUUAUUAGAAGCAGCAGCUUAGUAAAAAUGAUUAACAUGUAAAUUUGGUAAACAUUAUUAUUCAGGUAAACAACACUAAAAACCUCAGUCAACAGGUCGUUUCAUGCAUCUACUUCAGCUACAUUUUGUAGCCCAUUCAUCUUGAUUGGCCAUUGUGAUAAACUACUUUUCCAAAGAAUUAAAUAUUUCACAGGGCACAGAGAAACAUUUCUGGUCAACUUGCUUCCAUUAUUAAAAUGUGCCAUUAGAUUUUUUUUCAAAACUCAAUUCCUUUUCCUUGUUGUAUAAUGAAGCAAUGAAACAUUUUAUAUCAAGAACAUUUUUCAAGAGCUGGAGCAGUUUUAAGGCUUCUUUUAAGGAAAAACUUAGUCCUUCCAGAAGGUACUCCCUUGGCUCACUUCCAUGUGCAAGUGGGCUGGCCCAGAGAAAGAAAAUAUAUUUUGAGUUCUUCAAAUUUAACAACAGAAUAUUAAUUCUGCAUCAUCCAUAUCGGGUUCAUAAAAACCUAGGGAUCUCCUUUCACUUAAUCUUACAAAGAUACAUUUCAUGAAUUGAAUUCAUUCUGUCUUUCUGUAAAACUCAUUUGAGAUUAACUAUUCAUUUUUCAAAAUUCUCUAAGCUUCAUCCUCUAAUAAGCUGAAAGCCACAUGCAUGGACUCCACUCUUACAGCUCUUUGAAGCAGUGCUGAGUGAUGCACAAGGUAUGCACACACCUGGGAGCCUGUUCAAGAUUCUCCACUUAUCAAAUAUGGGACCUUCAGAAAAUUGUUUGCUUUCCUUAAGUUCAGUUUCCUCACCAGUAAGAUAAUUUUAGAAAUUAAGUUCAGCAAACAUAUUUAGAGUAUCUAUUAAGGACUACACUUUGUGCUGGAGUUAGGUAUAAAAAAUUAAUUCAUUAUUGACCCAAUAUUUAUUUUGAGCAUAUACUAUGCUCAGUGUUAGUCACUGUCUUAAGAGCUAAGGAUAAAUCUUUGAACAAGGCUGACAAAUUUCCUGUCCUCAUAGCUUGUAUUUUAGUAAGAUAUUCAGAAAAUAAAUAAGGAAACCAAGAACCGACUCAACAGAAAUUCAAGUCAGUGAUAGGGACUAUGAAGAAAAUACACUAGAAUAAGCAGGUGUCUCUGUGGGAAUAUGACUGCUAUGGAAACAAAAGUCAGACAAGUUCCCAUCUAGGAAGCGGACAUUUGACAGAGAUAUGAAUGAUAAGAAAAGAUGAUCAAGAAAUCUUUGUAUUCAAUGAGCUUAUUUCCUAGCAGUGCAUAGAGUGGGGAGGAUAUAAUUUCAGUAAGUGCUCGGAUUGAAGUAUGCAGUAAAAAUUUCUUGGAAGGAUGUGUUUAAGCAAUGUAAAAGUGCCUCAGAUGAAGUGAUGCCCAUAUCGAUACUCACCAGAUGUGAGUCAUCUUUUCUCUAAGAUUUAGCAUGGUGUUCCUCUCCCUUAAUCACUGUGAAAGAAAAUGACGACUUCUUAGAAUCAGAAAACACUGGGUCUAAUUAUAUGUUUAAAAAGCAUAUACCUUCUUUUGUGAGACGAUAAAAAUUAUAUAACACCGCAGAUUUCCCUCCAAACUUCUACUGGCUAUGGUGCUCGAUUUCUGCCAUCAACCUCUAUUUCUUGUGUUUUUAUUUCCAAUUUUCUUUAAUGUUUUAUUGCCAUAAGCUGUCUUGAUUUUUUUAUACCUGGACAGGGAAUAAAUGUUUUAAACAAACACGUUCACCCAAUCCAGUUACUUUUGUGUCUGGUAUUUAGAAGAAGUGCUUGGCAUUUAAAGUGGAAAAAUACUUCUAGUAUUUCCUUUUUAUAUGUAUGCCUCAUUUCCAGUAUUUUGGAUAUGACAGAGGAAAGGGGUUACUAGACAGAAUUACUUUAACCCACUUUCUUACUUUACCCUCAGACAUUUGGGGUCUUUUUUCACAGCAUAAAAUCUAUGGUAAAACUUUAUUAAUGCAAUGUUAUUGGAGUAGAAGGCAAUGUGAGCCACUCACAGUGAAAUAUGGUGUAUCUUCAAACACGCAUUAACUUACUGGUUAAGAAUGUGCACUUUUUAUUUAGACACGAUGAAGACUAAAUGCUUUCUCCUGCACUUGCUGACAACAGCCUUGGUGUAUGUUCCAGUCUCUCUGGGUCUCAUCUGUACAAUGCGAGAAAUAACACCUACCUCGUGGGAUUCCACUGAGGCUGAGGACGUUAUAUAUAUAUAUAUAUAUAUAUAUAUCAAACAAUGUUUAUAAAGUGCUUAGCAAAAUAUCUUUACCUAGCAAGUAUCAAAAAUAUAAAUUAUUCUCCAGAUUUUAUAUCAAUUUUAUUACAUGUUCUAUAGAGAAAAAUGACACCUUCCAAGAUUAACAGUUUUUGUCAUAAAUCAGAGUAUACCAACCAUCAGAGUUCCUAGAAUUCCUCUACCUCAUCAUAAUUCAAGAACAAGCAAUAGGGUGGUUGCAAACAGAGUCUAAC